UUACGGCCAUAUCACGUUGAAACGCCGGUUUUCGUACGAUCAUUGAAGUUAAGGAAUAUCAAGCCCGGUCAGUACCUAGAUGGGUGACCACUUUGGAAUACUUGAUGCUGUUA
Acanthosepion pharaonis is the source of this 113-nucleotide non-coding RNA. Lineage: Eukaryota; Metazoa; Mollusca; Cephalopoda; Sepiida; Sepiidae. The record is from the annotation of a GenBank genome assembly.